GAUGAACGCUGGCGGCGUGCCUAAUACAUGCAAGUCGAGCGAACAGACGAGGAGCUUGCUCCUCUGACGUUAGCGGCGGACGGGUGAGUAACACGUGGAUAACCUACCUAUAAGACUGGGAUAACUUCGGGAAACCGGAGCUAAUACCGGAUAAUAUAUUGAACCGCAUGGUUCAAUAGUGAAAGACGGUUUUGCUGUCACUUAUAGAUGGAUCCGCGCCGCAUUAGCUAGUUGGUAAGGUAACGGCUUACCAAGGCAACGAUGCGUAGCCGACGUGAGAGAGUGAUCGGCCACCCUGGAACUGAGACACGGUCCAGACGCCUACGGGAGGCAGCAGUAGGGAAUCUUCCGCAAUGGGCGAAAGCCUGACGGAGCAACGCCGCGUGAGUGAUGAAGGUCUUCGGAUCGUAAAACUCUGUUAUUAGGGAAGAACAAAUGUGUAAGUAACUAUGCACGUCUUGACGGUACCUAAUCAGAAAGCCACGGCUAACUACGUG
Molecule: ribosomal RNA, 497 nt
Filed under: uncultured bacterium
Lineage: Bacteria
Description: partial 16S ribosomal RNA
Rfam family: Bacterial small subunit ribosomal RNA
Source: RNAcentral